CAGAGGCGCGAAGUGCAUCAGUAACCUUGUUUGUACGCCCCAGCCAGGGGCAUAAGCAGGGCGAAAGGGUACUUUGCCGAAGGCAAUGCACGGCACGCAUUGGCCUGGGUCCGUAACCGAACAGGUGCGGGACUGUCACACCCCAAUCAGUGUGUUGCGCUGU
RNAcentral lists this non-coding RNA (163 nucleotides) under Subdoligranulum variabile. RNAcentral's name for it is "Lysine riboswitch". It matches the Rfam family "Lysine riboswitch aptamer". Rfam says of the family: Riboswitches are metabolite binding domains within certain messenger RNAs that serve as precision sensors for their corresponding targets. Allosteric rearrangement of mRNA structure is mediated by ligand binding, and this results in modulation of gene expression. This family includes riboswitches that sense lysine in a number of genes involved in lysine metabolism, including lysC. The record is from RNAcentral. Lineage: Bacteria; Bacillati; Bacillota; Clostridia; Eubacteriales; Oscillospiraceae.